CACGUAGGGCGCAAGCGUUGUUCGGAAUUACUGGGCGUAAAGCGCGUGUAGGCUGUUCGGAAAGUCGGGUGUGAAAGCCCUGGGCUCAACCUAGGAAGUGCACUCGAAACUCCCGAACUGGAGUCCCGGAGAGGAAGGUGGAAUUCUCGGUGUAGAGGUGAAAUUCGUAGAUAUCGAGAGGAACAUCGGUGGCGAAGGCGGCCUUCUGGACGGUGACUGACGCUGAGACGCGAAAGCGUGGGGAGCAAACAGG
RNAcentral lists this ribosomal RNA (253 nucleotides) under uncultured bacterium. RNAcentral describes it as "partial 16S ribosomal RNA". It matches the Rfam family "Bacterial small subunit ribosomal RNA", at positions 524 to 776 of the family's 1533-position model. The record is from RNAcentral.